CCUACGGGCGGCUGCAGUGGGGAAUAUUGGACAAUGGGGGCAACCCUGAUCCAGCCAUGCCGCGUGUGUGAAGAAGGCCCUCGGGUUGUAAAGCACUUUCAGUGAGGAAGAACGCCUGGUGGUUAAUACCCAUCAGGAAAGACAUCACUCACAGAAGAAGCACCGGUUAACUCCGUGCCAGCAGCCGCGGUAAUACGGAGGGUGCGAGCGUUAAUCGGAAUUACUGGGCGUAAAGCGCGCGUAGGUGGCUUGAUAAGCCGGUUGUGAAAGCCCCGGGCUCAACCUGGGAACGGCAUCCGGAACUGUCAAGCUAGAGUGCAGGAGAGGAAGGUAGAAUUCCCGGUGUAGCGGUGAAAUGCGUAGAGAUCGGGAGGAAUACCAGUGGCGAAGGCGGCCUUCUGGACUGACACUGACACUGAGGUGCGAAAGCGUGGGUAGCAAACAGGAUUAGAUACCCUGGUAGUC
This 465-nucleotide ribosomal RNA is filed under the name Vreelandella stevensii. Its description in RNAcentral is "partial 16S ribosomal RNA". It matches the Rfam family "Bacterial small subunit ribosomal RNA", at positions 338 to 795 of the family's 1533-position model. Lineage: Bacteria; Pseudomonadati; Pseudomonadota; Gammaproteobacteria; Oceanospirillales; Halomonadaceae. The record is from RNAcentral.